AGCUUCAACAGUAUCUGAACAAUCAUUCAAUCAUGAUCAAUGUGACAAUAAAGCAAGUUGCAGAGGUCGACAAUCUCACAGUUUUGAAAGAGAAUAAGUCCUUGGAUGGUUAUCACACACUGCUAAACCUUACAAGUUACGGAGAGUCGCAACACACUUCUAACAACACUGUUUAUUUUCUUUUUACUUGGGUUAAUGACACUGCAGAUCAUAACACAAAAGGAAAGAUGGAUUCCAUCAGUACUGACGGUAAACAACGACUAGGAGUGUCCGAGGUAUCCACAAACAAUACAUUUUGCACUAAAAUGGUAAGCGCAGC
Long non-coding RNA from Rhipicephalus sanguineus (brown dog tick), 319 nucleotides. RefSeq lists it as uncharacterized. NCBI's taxonomy places the organism in Eukaryota, Metazoa, Arthropoda, Arachnida, Ixodida, Ixodidae. The record is from RefSeq and is a predicted model, not a curated record. The transcript has 4 exons.